This 459-nucleotide ribosomal RNA is filed under the name uncultured bacterium. RNAcentral's name for it is "partial 16S ribosomal RNA". It matches the Rfam family "Bacterial small subunit ribosomal RNA", at positions 28 to 523 of the family's 1533-position model. The record is from RNAcentral.
GAUGAACGCUGGCGGCGUGCCUAAUACAUGCAAGUCGAGCGGAAAGGCCUCUUCGGAGAUACUCGAGCGGCGGACGGCUGAGUAACGCGUAGGAACGUACCCCAAACUGAGGGAUAACUGCUCGAAAGAGUAGCUAAUACCGCAUGUGCUCUACGGAGUAAAGCUUCGGCGGUUUGGGAACGGCCUGCGUAAGAUUAGCUUGUUGGUGAGGUAAUGGCUCACCAAGGCGACGAUCUUUAGCUGGUCUGAGAGGAUGAUCAGCCAGACUGGGACUGAGACACGGCCCAGACUCCUACGGGAGGCAGCAGUAGGGAAUUUUCCACAAUGGGCGAAAGCCUGAUGGAGCAACGCCGCGUGCAGGAUGAAGGCUUUCGGGUCGUAAACUGCUUUUAUAUGUGACGAUUUUGACGGUAGCAUAUGAAUAAGGAUCGGCUAACUCCGUGCCAGCCGCCGCAGUAA